UGAAAGCUUAUUGCGACUGUGUGCGUGCCUACACAUACUACUACCGACCCAUGACGUAAGCUGGAGACAGGUGUCACCAGAUUGUUCCGAGAACUACAGCUUUGUUACGGCGACUAAAAAACUGGUAUGUGCUCAUUUAGCAACGUUGGGCGGUACUCUUCAGUCGUGUGAUUCAAAAUGAGAAAUUCAAAAUGGUGCUUGAAUACACAUGACGUAGGCUGGUACCAGUGAUUGGCUGUUGUAUAUUUGCUCCGAGAUCAUUUGAAUAAGCAUGUGUACUUUUCUCAUUACGACAUGGAAGUGUCACGCUGUGCGUCACAUUUGAAAGCGCCCUCGCUUGUUUAGUAAACUUUACGAUGUGGUUAGGGAUACUUCGUACAUUAAUAUGUGUUUUGUGAAAAUCUCUGAAUCUCCCAUGACAUAAAUUCUACCCCAGCUUCAGAAGAUUACGGAAAAUCGGGUAAACGCAGUCCAACAACUCGGUCCUUGGGGCUGAAUCAGAUGGUCAUCAAACGGGAGCUCCGGAUCUGUCUGAACGUCUUCGUCGGCAGCCUUAUUACUUUGAUGCAAUCAGCUUCGUUCGAAAAUCCGUGGCAAAUGUCAUUGCAGAAGACCCGUCAUAAGCUGCGGAAGUGGAGGCGCAUUUGGGCUUUGCUGCUGACGGGGGCGGUGGUGGCGAGCCUUUGGCUGAUUUUUCGGCGACGGCGGCCCCCGGGGGACGUGCUGGAGCGGCUUCGGUUCCUUCCGAAUCCAUUUGCCGCGUCCGGUCUCACAAAUGAAACUGGUGCUCCCACGCCAAUCGUUCCCAACUUGGUCCAUUUCAUCGUCUUCCAGAAGGCCACGGUCAGCUUCAUCCACUUUGUAUGCGUUCUUGCCGCCCUUCGCAAUCAACGUCCCGACAAAAUUUAUUUCCACUCAAACGUCCAACUAUCAGGUCCGUAUUGGGAGCGGUUGCUGAAGCUGAAACAGUUUUCAGAGCGGGUAGUCUUGCGGCAAAUAGAAAUGCCUAAAGAGAUAUUCAACCAGACGAUCAGAGAGGACUACCGCAUUUUUCAUGGUGGCGAUAUAGCUCGAAUUCAAGUACUCAUGCAGUUCGGCGGAAUUUUCCUCGACAACGAUUCCUACGUUGUUAAAAGUCUAGACUUCUUCCGCCACUUCGAGAUGGCUAUUGGCUGGGACGAGGAACAAUUUUUGGGGACCCAGAUAAUCGUGGCGCACCGUGAAGCGCGGUUCCUCGACCUAUGGCUCCACUCUUAUGAAGGCAUGUACGAAACAGAUUUGUGGUACUACAACGCAGGGGAACUACCAACGACGUGGAUACUGUAUCGGCGUCCGGACCUUGUGCACCGGGUGAAAGUCCUCUUCGGGAACGACGGCAAGUUCCAGCAACUGCUCUUCCAGCGCUACUGGCCUGGUUGGCGGGAGCAAUACACGUUCCACUUGCUCGCCCGAAAGGCCCAUCAAAGUGGCCUUCGCACCAUCUCACCCAAUGCUUCCUACCCGGUUGACUUCGACGAGCACAAUCUCCAGAACUACCCAAUUACCUUCCGCGAGAUGGCUAACGAGGUCCUCGAUUAUGAAAAGAUCCUCCUAAAAGAAGAUUUUGCUCUAGGCCAAGAAUCGAGCUAA
This 1629-nucleotide long non-coding RNA is filed under the name Bemisia tabaci. RNAcentral's name for it is "lncRNA ENSSSA3NGG007776". The record is from RNAcentral. Lineage: Eukaryota; Metazoa; Arthropoda; Insecta; Hemiptera; Aleyrodidae.